Molecule: long non-coding RNA, 1568 nt
Organism: Quercus robur (English oak)
Lineage: Eukaryota; Viridiplantae; Streptophyta; Magnoliopsida; Fagales; Fagaceae
Exons: 2
Source: RefSeq, a predicted model, not a curated record
UCUUUUCUUUUCUCUCAUACACUCCUCUCUACUCUUAUAUCCUCUCUCACCGGUACUUCCACACCACCACCACCAUUUCCACAAUCUUUUUCCAGCAAGAUCACUAGAAAAUCCUUAAGAGCCUAUAAGCCCCUUCACAUCUUUUCUUUGAGGUUCUAGCUAAUCUCCUUGGAGCUUGGAAAAUUAGGCUUUUGCAGUUGCGAGGUAAGUAGCUUUUUAAUGGGAUUUUUGAAAAAAAAAACCAUGUUGCAUAAGUGUACACGCUUUUGGAAACUACCUAUGGAAAUUAUAUUUUUCCAAAAAAACUAUUGUGCCGUAACCUUAAUAUAUAUAUAUAUAUAUAUAUAUAUAUGAAUGAUUAUAUAUGAAAAUGCAUCAUAUUUGGUAUCGCAUUUGGGGAAAUGCAUGAAUUGUUGAUAUGGAAAAAUGAGCAUCUUUUAUUUAAUCUUUCAUAAGGAAAUCAUGGAUUUUAUGGUAUAUUAGAAAAUUUAAAGAUGCUUAUCUUGUCUUGUUAUGUGGGAAAUUGAUAGAAAAUCUCUUGACAAGAAUGAAGUUGAAAACCUUACAAACUUUAUGGAAGUUAGAUUAUUCAAGAUUUUUCUGAAAUUACCUAGAUAUAAACUAUGUGUUUCAAAGUAUAUGUAACCUGUGAGCUUUAUGUGGUUUUAACACCAUGCCAUGUGUGAUUUUCCGAUGAUCACCCAAUUUGUUUUUCGUAGUUUUUGUGACAACGAAAUCAGAUCUAGGUCAGUGCCCUUUCACUUUGGAUGACGCUUUCUUCCCUACUGCCCAUGGGGGAAAAAGGUUCCUUGAUUGUGUGUGGGUGAGGCUGCUAUCCAUGGGGCCAAGAGACCAUAUGCAAGAGAGGUCCUAUUUGACUCGCUCUCUCUACUGCCCAUGGAGGGAGAGAAAAACCUUAAGGGUAUAGGUGAGGCUGCUGUCCAUGGGGCCAAAAGCCUGCAUACCAAAGAAGACAAUAUUAUGCCAAUUGUGAAUGGGUGGAUCUCCUGACCGGUUUAUGUGGUAGUGUGGUAUAUUUGUGAUAAUUUACCUUAUGUUAUAUUUUAUGACUUUAGAAAUUAUAUUGUUGGUGCUCACAGAUUAUAGUAUAUAGUUUCAAGGUAUUUACUUUGAGAAACUGUGUGUUUCAUUAUUUAGUCAUUCUUAUCAUAUCAUAUUAUUAUUAUUGAAAAUGAAACUUGCAUAUCCCCCACCCCUAUUAAUUAUGCUACUUACUGGGCUCUAUCUCAUUCCAUUAUUUUAUAAACUUUUCAGAGUAGGCAACGAUAUUUUGAGACAGCUUUUUGGUGGCUAACAGUAGUUAGACUAACUAUUGAUGGAGGCUGAACUUUUGUAAUGGAGAUAUUAGAUUAUGUACAUCUUAGAAUAAACUUGACUCAUUCUUUUGUAUAUUAUAGUGGUUGUGACAUUAUUCCCACUAAUAGGACAGUUGAUGAUAUGUAAUUAUUUAUUCAGACCUCUAUUCUUUUGUGGCCAAUGGUCCUUGUAAUUAUUGCUUAGAGCUCUAACUUACUUUGAGAGUAUAUUCAAUGGAAUUAUUAUGAUAA